AUUUUGCUCUGACUUACUCUCUCUGAGUGUCUCUCUCUCUCCCUGCAGAAUCUAGUUAAAGCUUGAGAACUGUCUGUCCAACAAAUCAACGGCCUACCUAAAACAUCACUAGCAUCUGAUGUGAGAAGACAGGUGUGCAGGGCACUUUCACUACAGUCCAGCUUAACCUCAUGUCACAGGGUGCACGUGGACAGGCCUGGACACAAAUUAGAAAUUACCCAGCAUGGACAGACAUCCAGUUUAAUGGACAGAGCUGUACCAAAUGACAUCAGACAUUCAUUAGAACACAACAAUGGACUGUUCGAUAAUACAUGCAUGGAAUCCAGAAUACAUAUUAUCAAAGAGUCCAGUGUCGUCCCCGUGUCUCUACACAAAGGCCUUAUAUGGCCAAAUAAGCUGACUCAUAAUGCUGUAUCUAGCGAAAGGAGAGAGAGAGAGAGUCAAUCCUGGCUUGGCUGUUUUGACACCAUAUUGGUUUUCCACACAGCAGAGAGCC
Carassius carassius (crucian carp) is the source of this 496-nucleotide long non-coding RNA. RefSeq lists it as uncharacterized. The transcript is spliced from 3 exons. The record is from RefSeq and is a predicted model, not a curated record. NCBI's taxonomy places the organism in Eukaryota, Metazoa, Chordata, Actinopteri, Cypriniformes, Cyprinidae.